RNAcentral lists this long non-coding RNA (1037 nucleotides) under Cricetulus griseus (Chinese hamster). RNAcentral's name for it is "lncRNA (ENSCGRG00015038920.1)". Lineage: Eukaryota; Metazoa; Chordata; Mammalia; Rodentia; Cricetidae. The record is from RNAcentral.
GUAAGUAAGGCCUUUCCCUAUUAAAUACCCUUAUAUUUCUACUUGGGUCCGUAUUGCUAAUUUCCCACUUUAAUCAUGAAGGCGUGUUGGAUUUUUUUUUCAAAGGCUUUUCCUGUAUUUAUUGAGAUGAUCAUGUGACUUUUGCCUUUAAGUCUACUUAUGUGGUUUAUUAUAUUCUUUUGAUUUGUUUAUAUAAAAACUUUUCUGCUUUCCAAGGUUAAAGCCAACAUCAUCAUGGUGUAUGAUCUUUGUUUUGCUAUGUCUUUCGAGACAGAGUUUACUGUGUAGCCCUAGAAGAUCUGGAACUCAUGCAGCAGACCAGGCUGGCCCUGAUCUCAGAGAUCCACCUGUCUCUGUCUGCUGAAUGCUGGGAUUAAAGUUGCAGGUACCAUCUUACAGCCAUCAUGUCUGUGUAAAGAAAGCAAGAGUGCCUAAGGAGGUGACCUGGACUGUGAACAUCCACCCUGACCAGCCUGGAAGCCAACAGUUAAUCAUACAGCAGAAUCCAGAGAAAUUCAACAAGGGCCAUUAGGAGUGAAAGCAUGCAAACUAGAAGCUGAGGAGUGCUAUGUUGUGAAAUACUGUCAACUGGACAUGCUAUGGCUAUGGACACUCACGAACUGUGGAUAUCUACAGCUACAUCAAUACAGUGAUAAAAAUUGCAACAUUGAUAGAGGAGAUGGUGUCAAGGCUCCACCCAUUACUGAGGAGGUUUUGGCAGCUGAUAGCUGAUUUGAAAGAACUCCUUGGAGAUGACGGCUCCAUCUAGGACUUGCCUAGGAAAAGAAGCAAUGAGGGCAGAUCACUGUGUAACGCUAGAUAGCCUUCAUCCAGUAGCUGUUCGAAGCAAAAACAGGCACCCACAGGCUCAGAGAUCUAUGCAGAAGAGGAGACAGAAAGAUUGUAAUAGCCAGAGGUUGUGGAUAUCUCCAAGGAAACAACAUAUUCCAGGUCUGCGUGACUGGAAAUGUUGAAAUAGAGAGACAGCCAAUCAGAUGAUUCUGCCUGUGGACUUCAGCAUCUGUGACUCAUCAACA